This 220-nucleotide long non-coding RNA is filed under the name Mytilus galloprovincialis (Mediterranean mussel). Lineage: Eukaryota; Metazoa; Mollusca; Bivalvia; Mytilida; Mytilidae. The record is from RNAcentral.
GUAAAAAGAAAUAUGUUUAUCCUGAGGCUCGCACGGGAAGCGGUGAACUAUACAAUAAUUAUAGUUUAUUUUCAUUAAGACAUCGAUUUAAUAGAUACUUAUCAAAUUAAGAUUGUGAAAUUAUGCAUGACGCUGAUAACAAGGACGCAAAUAAGGUAUUUAAGUAACCACGAAAACCUUAAACGUGGGUUAGCAGGUAUUAAUUAUAACUCUCUCCCCC